Molecule: ribosomal RNA, 301 nt
Filed under: uncultured bacterium
Lineage: Bacteria
Description: partial 16S ribosomal RNA
Rfam family: Bacterial small subunit ribosomal RNA
Source: RNAcentral
CAGCAGCCGCGGGAAUACAGAGGGUGCGAGCGUUAAUCGGAAUUACUGGGCGUAAAGGGCGCGUAGGCGGUUAGGAAGGUGUGAUGUGAAAGCCCUGGGCUUAACCUAGGAAGUGCAUCGCAAACCAACUAGCUGGAGUAUAAGAGAGGGUGGCGGAAUUUCCGGUGUAGCGGUGAAAUGCGUAGAGAUCGGAAGGAACGUCAAUGGCGAAGGCAGCCACCUGGCUUAAUACUGACGCUGAGGCGCGAAAGCGUGGGGAGCGAACAGGAUUAGAUACCCCAGUAGUCCCUGUCUCUUAUAC